This 253-nucleotide ribosomal RNA is filed under the name uncultured bacterium. RNAcentral's name for it is "partial 16S ribosomal RNA". It matches the Rfam family "Bacterial small subunit ribosomal RNA", at positions 524 to 776 of the family's 1533-position model. The record is from RNAcentral.
UACGAAGGGGGCUAGCGUUGUUCGGAAUCACUGGGCGUAAAGCGCACGUAGGCGGCUGUGUCAGUCAGGGGUGAAAUCCCGGAGCUCAACUCCGGAACUGCCUCUGAUACAGCACGUCUUGAGUUCGAGAGAGGUGGGUGGAAUUCCUAGUGUAGAGGUGAAAUGCGUAGAUAUCGGGAGGAACGCCAGUGGCGAAAGCGGGUUCCUGGAUGCCUUCUGACGCUGAGGCGCGAAAGCGGGGGGAGCAAACGGG